Molecule: ribosomal RNA, 1098 nt
Filed under: uncultured bacterium
Lineage: Bacteria
Description: bacterial SSU rRNA
Rfam family: Bacterial small subunit ribosomal RNA
Source: RNAcentral
GGAUCCAGACUUUGAUUCUGGCUCAGGAUGAACGCUAGCGGCAGGCCUAAUACAUGCAAGUCGAACGGGAUUGAGAGCUUGCUUUCAUGAGCGUGGCGUACGGGUGCGUAACGCGUAUGCAACCUACCUUCAUCAGGGGGAUAGCCCGAAGAAAUUCGGAUUAACACCGCAUAAAAACACAACCUGGCAUCAGGAAAUGUUCAAAUAUUUAUAGGAUGAAGAUGGGCAUGCGUGUCAUUAGCUAGUUGGUGAGGUAACGGCUCACCAAGGCGACGAUGACUAGGGGAUCUGAGAGGAUGACCCCCCACACUGGUACUGAGACACGGACCAGACUCCUACGGGAGGCAGCAGUAAGGAAUAUUGGUCAAUGGAGGCAACUCUGAACCAGCCAUGCCGCGUGCAGGAAGACAGCCCUAUGGGUCGUAAACUGCUUUUAUACGGGAAUAAACCUUGAUUCGUGAAUCAAGCUGAAUGUACCGUAAGAAUAAGGAUCGGCUAACUCCGUGCCAGCAGCCGCGGUAAUACGGAGGAUCCAAGCGUUAUCCGGAUUUAUUGGGUUUAAAGGGAGCGUAGGCGGCUUGUUAAGUCAGGGGUGAAAGACGGUGGCUCAACCAUCGCAGUGCCUUUGAUACUGACGAGCUUGAAUAUAGUUGAGGUAGGCGGAAUGUGACAAGUAGCGGUGAAAUGCAUAGAUAUGUCACAGAACACCGAUUGCGAAGGCAGCUUACUAAGCUAUUAUUGACGCUGAGGCUCGAAAGCGUGGGGAUCAAACAGGAUUAGAUACCCUGGUAGUCCACGCCCUAAACGAUGAUAACUCGAUGUUGGCGAUAUACAGUCAGCGUCCAAGCGAAAGCGUUAAGUUAUCCACCUGGGGAGUACGCCCGCAAGGGUGAAACUCAAAGGAAUUGACGGGGGCCCGCACAAGCGGAGGAGCAUGUGGUUUAAUUCGAUGAUACGCGAGGAACCUUACCCGGGCUUGAAAGUUAGUGAAUCAUUUAGAGAUAGAUGAGUCCGCAAGGACACGAAACUAGGUGCUGCAUGGCUGUCGUCAGCUCGUGCCGUGAGGUGUUGGGUUAAGUCCCGCAACGAGCGCAACCC